GGAUCAUACCUGUCAAAGGCAAAAGAGUUCCUUAGAAUCUACAAGUAUGUCAGAUGCAGUGACUCCAGGGGUUAUUUUCUUCCUCCUCAAAAAGUUGAGAAAGUAGCCUUGAGAAGAAAAGAAGAGACAGGAACCAGUGCACAAAAAGGACCAAACUGUUCCUGGAAUAGCUGAUGGAUUGUGUUUUACUAAAGCCAUGGGAUGAGUUGGCACAGUGGAACAUAAAUCUUAAUAGAAGGCAGUACCAGUAGACGAGGAUUCAUUGCAUUCUGAAAGUCUUCAGGUUCCAAACUGAGAUGAGCAGCUUCCUGUCAAAUAAGCCAAUGCUACUGGACGAAUUGACCUUGACAUGACUGCUGUGAUGCCAAAAGCCACAAGCUAACUGGUAACAAU
This is a long non-coding RNA of Gymnogyps californianus (California condor), 393 nucleotides long. RefSeq lists it as uncharacterized. NCBI's taxonomy places the organism in Eukaryota, Metazoa, Chordata, Aves, Accipitriformes, Cathartidae. The transcript is spliced from 3 exons. The record is from RefSeq and is a predicted model, not a curated record.